UUCAGUCACCUUGCGCCAGCUCCGUAAUCGCCUGUUUCAAGAAAACUCUGUUCUCAGUUCACUCCCCAUCAAUUCUCUGAGUAGGAACAAUGAAGUUGACCUGCUCUUUCUUUCUGAACUGCAAGUGCUACAUGAUAUUUCAAGCUUGCUGUCUCGUCAUAAGCAUCUAGCCAAGGAUCAUUCUCCUGAUUUAUAUUCACUGGAGCUGGCAGGUUUGGAUGAAAUUGGGAAGCGUUAUGGGGAAGACUCUGAACAAUUCAGAGAUGCUUCUAAGAUCCUUGUUGACGCUCUGCAAAAGUUUGCAGAUGACAUGUACAGUCUUUAUGGUGGGAAUGCAGUGGUAGAGUUAGUCACUGUCAAGUCAUUUGACACCUCCCUCAUUAGGAAGACAAGGACUAUCCUUGAGGCAAAACAAGCGGUGAGUAUAUUUUGAGAUCCUGCUUUAAAACUGUAAAAUUAACUAAUU
This 466-nucleotide small RNA is filed under the name Pan troglodytes (chimpanzee). Its description in RNAcentral is "retained intron". Lineage: Eukaryota; Metazoa; Chordata; Mammalia; Primates; Hominidae. The record is from RNAcentral.